This 73-nucleotide transfer RNA is filed under the name Chroomonas mesostigmatica CCMP1168. Its description in RNAcentral is "tRNA-Tyr". It matches the Rfam family "tRNA". Rfam says of the family: Transfer RNA (tRNA) molecules are approximately 80 nucleotides in length. The record is from RNAcentral. Lineage: Eukaryota; Cryptophyceae; Pyrenomonadales; Chroomonadaceae.
CCGAUCUUAGCUCAGUUGGCAGAGCAUCUGACUGUAGAUCAGAUUGUCGCUAGUUCGAAUCUGGCAGAUCGGA